GACGAACGCUGGCGGCGUGCUUAACACAUGCAAGUCGAACGGAAAGACCCUGCCUUUGUGGGGUGCUCGAGUGGCGAACGGGUGAGUAACACGUGAGUAACCUGCCCUUGACUUUGGGAUAACUUCAGGAAACUGGGGCUAAUACCGGAUAGGAGCUCCUGCUGCAUGGUGGGCGUUGGAAAGUUUCGGCGGUUGGGGAUGGACUCGCGGCUUAUCAGCUUGUUGGUGGGGUAGUGGCUUACCAAGGCGUUGACGGGUAGCCGGCCUGAGAGGGUGACCGGCCACAUUGGGACUGAGAUACGGCCCAGACUCCUACGGGAGGCAGCAGUGGGGAAUAUUGCACAAUGGGCGGAAGCCUGAUGCAGCAACGCCGCGUGCGGGAUGACGGCCUUCGGGUUGUAAACCGCUUUCGCCUGUGACGAAGCGUGAGUGACGGUAAUGGGUAAAGAAGCACCGGCUAACUACGUG
RNAcentral lists this ribosomal RNA (468 nucleotides) under uncultured bacterium. RNAcentral's name for it is "partial 16S ribosomal RNA". It matches the Rfam family "Bacterial small subunit ribosomal RNA", at positions 28 to 507 of the family's 1533-position model. The record is from RNAcentral.